UACGUAGGUGGCAAGCGUUGUCCGGAAUUACUGGGUGUAAAGGGAGCGCAGGCGGGAAGCCAAGUCAGCUGUGAAAACUACGGGCUUAACUUGUAGACUGCAGUUGAAACUGGUUUUCUUGAGUGAAGUAGAGGUUGGCGGAAUUCCGAGUGUAGCGGUGAAAUGCAUAGAUAUCACGCAGAACCCCGAUUGCGAAGGCAGCAUACCGGCGCCCUACUGACGCUGAGGCACGAAAGUGCGGGUAUCGAACAGG
Molecule: ribosomal RNA, 253 nt
Filed under: uncultured bacterium
Lineage: Bacteria
Description: partial 16S ribosomal RNA
Rfam family: Bacterial small subunit ribosomal RNA
Source: RNAcentral